UUUGUAGAGGAUGCUUCGAGCAUGGUCUGGCCUAAGUUCCUUGGAACAGGACGUCAUAGAGGGUGAGAAUCCCGUAUGCGGUCAGGUGCCUACGCUCAUGUGAAGCUCCUUCGACGAGUCGAGUUGUUUGGGAAUGCAGCUCAAAAUGGGUGGUAAAUUUCAUCUAAAGCUAAAUAUUGGCCAGAGACCGAUAGCGCACAAGUAGAGUGAUCGAAAGAUGAAAAGCACUUUGGAAAGAGAGUUAAACAGUACGUGAAAUUGUUGAAAGGGAAGCGCUUGCAACCAGACUUGCGCGCGGCCGAUCAUCCGGUGUUCUCACCGGUGCACUCGGCCGUGCUCAGGCCAGCAUCGGUUUCGGCGGUUGGAUAAAGGCCUCAGGAAUGUGGCUCCUCUCGGGGAGUGUUAUAGCCUGGGGUGCAAUGCAGCCUGCUGGGACCGAGGACCGCGCUUCGGCUAGGAUGCUGGCGUAAUGGUUGUAAGCGGCCCG
RNAcentral lists this ribosomal RNA (487 nucleotides) under Geomyces sp. RNAcentral's name for it is "LSU rRNA". It matches the Rfam family "Eukaryotic large subunit ribosomal RNA", at positions 149 to 651 of the family's 3401-position model. The record is from RNAcentral. Lineage: Eukaryota; Fungi; Ascomycota; Leotiomycetes; Thelebolales; Pseudeurotiaceae.